RNAcentral lists this ribosomal RNA (440 nucleotides) under actinomycete P7. Its description in RNAcentral is "bacterial SSU rRNA". It matches the Rfam family "Bacterial small subunit ribosomal RNA", at positions 64 to 515 of the family's 1533-position model. Lineage: Bacteria; Bacillati; Actinomycetota; Actinomycetes; Actinomycetales. The record is from RNAcentral.
GAACGGUGAUCCAGGAGCUUGCUCUUGGUGAUCAGUGGCGAACGGGUGAGUAACACGUGAGUAACCUGCCCCUGACUCUGGAAUAACUUCGGGAAACCGGAGCUAAUACCGGAUAUGACACAGAGCCGCAUGGGUUUCGUGUGGAAAGUUUUUCGGUUUGGGAUGGACUCGCGGCCUAUCAGCUUGUUGGUGAGGUAAUGGCUCACCAAGGCGACGACGGGUAGCCGGCCUGAGAGGGCGACCGGCCACACUGGGACUGAGACACGGCCCAGACUCCUACGGGAGGCAGCAGUGGGGAAUAUUGCACAAUGGGCGAAAGCCUGAUGCAGCGACGCCGCGUGAGGGAUGACGGCCUUCGGGUUGUAAACCUCUUUCAGCAGGGAAGAGGCGAAAGUGACGGUACCUGCAGAAGAAGCACCGGCUAACUACGUGCCAGCAGC